Molecule: ribosomal RNA, 263 nt
Filed under: uncultured bacterium
Lineage: Bacteria
Description: partial 16S ribosomal RNA
Rfam family: Bacterial small subunit ribosomal RNA
Source: RNAcentral
CCUAACACAUGCAAGUCGAACGCAGUAGCAAUACUGAGUGGCAAACGGGUGAGUAUAAUGUGGGAAUCUGCCUUUUGGUCGGAAUAACACGAGGAAACCUGUGCUAAUACCGGAUAAGUCCUUACGGAGAAAGUUUUAAUGCCAAAAGAUGAGCCCGCAUUUGAUUAGCUAGUUGGUGAGGUAAAAGCUCACCAAGGCGAUAAUCAAUAGCUGAUUUGAGAGGAUGAUCAGCCACAUUGGGACUGAGACACGGCCCAAACUCC